UACAGAGGGGGCAAGCGUUAUUCGGAAUUAUUGGGCGUAAAGGGCGCGCAGGCGGUCUGGCAAGUUUGGAGUGACAGUGCUCGGCUUAACUGGGCAAGGCCUUCGAAAACUGCUAGACUUGAGCACUCAAGAGGGACAUAGAAUUCCGGGUGGAGUGGUGAAAUGCGUAGAUAUCCGGAGGAAUACCAAAGGCGAAGGCAGUGUCCUGGGGAGUGUCUGACGCUCAGGCGCGAAAGCUAGGGGAGCGAACAGG
Molecule: ribosomal RNA, 253 nt
Filed under: uncultured bacterium
Lineage: Bacteria
Description: partial 16S ribosomal RNA
Rfam family: Bacterial small subunit ribosomal RNA
Source: RNAcentral